RNAcentral lists this small RNA (174 nucleotides) under Sphenodon punctatus (tuatara). Its description in RNAcentral is "TUC338 (ENSSPUG00000018921.1)". Lineage: Eukaryota; Metazoa; Chordata; Lepidosauria; Sphenodontia; Sphenodontidae. The record is from RNAcentral.
GUGAAAGGUGGAGGCUGACAAUCAAGGGCCUUCUUUUCAUCUACAGAAGAGCUACAGCACAUGUAGCUGUAGAGCAUACUUUCCCCACACUGCUCUGCCAAUCUGAAUAUCAGAUUCAUCUCUUUAAUAAAGAAGGUCGUUUUGGCUUCAUGCUCCUUCAUUCCUUAAUCUAUU